CCUUCGGGGUACACGAGCGGCGAACGGGUGAGUAACACGUGGGUGAUCUGCCUCGCACUUCGGGAUAAGCCUGGGAAACUGGGUCUAAUACCGGAUAUGACCUUUCAGUGCAUGCUGUUGGGUGGAAAGAUUUAUCGGUGCGAGAUGGGCCCGCGGCCUAUCAGCUUGUUGGCGGGGUAACGGCCCACCAAGGCGACGACGGGUAGCCGACCUGAGAGGGUGACCGGCCACACUGGGACUGAGACACGGCCCAGACUCCUACGGGAGGCAGCAGUGGGGAAUAUUGCACAAUGGGCGAAAGCCUGAUGCAGCGACGCCGCGUGAGGGAUGACGGCCUUCGGGUUGUAAACCUCUUUCGACAGGGACGAAGCGCAAGUGACGGUACCUGUAGAAGAAGCACCGGCCAACUACGUG
Molecule: ribosomal RNA, 414 nt
Filed under: Nocardia brasiliensis
Lineage: Bacteria; Bacillati; Actinomycetota; Actinomycetes; Mycobacteriales; Nocardiaceae
Description: bacterial SSU rRNA
Rfam family: Bacterial small subunit ribosomal RNA
Source: RNAcentral